RNAcentral lists this ribosomal RNA (253 nucleotides) under uncultured bacterium. Its description in RNAcentral is "partial 16S ribosomal RNA". It matches the Rfam family "Bacterial small subunit ribosomal RNA", at positions 524 to 776 of the family's 1533-position model. The record is from RNAcentral.
UACGGAGGGUGCAAGCGUUGUCCGGAUUUAUUGGGUUUAAAGGGUGCGUAGGCGGCUCUUUAAGUCAGCGGUGAAAGUCCAGAGCUUAACUCUGGGAUUGCCAUUGAUACUGAAGAGCUUGAGUAUAGUUGAGGUAGGCGGAAUUGACAGUGUAGCGGUGAAAUGCAUAGAUAUUGUCAAGAACACCGAUUGCGUAGGCAGCUUACUAAGCUAUAACUGACGCUGAGGCACGAAAGCGUGGGUAGCAAACAGG